GCCAGCGUAGCACAGUGGCAGUGCGUUCGCUUCGUAAGCGAAAGGUCCUGAGUUCGACCCUCAGUGUUGGCU
Galdieria sulphuraria is the source of this 72-nucleotide transfer RNA. It matches the Rfam family "tRNA". Rfam says of the family: Transfer RNA (tRNA) molecules are approximately 80 nucleotides in length. Their secondary structure includes four short double-helical elements and three loops (D, anti-codon, and T loops). Further hydrogen bonds mediate the characteristic L-shaped molecular structure. tRNAs have two regions of fundamental functional importance: the anti-codon, which is responsible for specific mRNA codon recognition, and the 3' end, to which the tRNAs corresponding amino acid is attached (by aminoacyl-tRNA synthetases). tRNAs cope with the degeneracy of the genetic code in two manners: having more than one tRNA (with a specific anti-codon) for a particular amino acid; and 'wobble' base-pairing, i.e. permitting non-standard base-pairing at the 3rd anti-codon position. The record is from Rfam. NCBI's taxonomy places the organism in Eukaryota, Rhodophyta, Bangiophyceae, Galdieriales, Galdieriaceae.